Molecule: ribosomal RNA, 465 nt
Filed under: Vreelandella stevensii
Lineage: Bacteria; Pseudomonadati; Pseudomonadota; Gammaproteobacteria; Oceanospirillales; Halomonadaceae
Description: partial 16S ribosomal RNA
Rfam family: Bacterial small subunit ribosomal RNA
Source: RNAcentral
CCUACGGGGGGCUGCAGUGGGGAAUAUUGGACAAUGGGCGAAAGCCUGAUCCAGCCAUGCCGCGUGUGUGAAGAAGGCCUUCGGGUUGUAAAGCACUUUCAGUGGGGAAGAAAGCCUUGGGGCUAAUACCCUCGAGGAAGGACAUCACCCACAGAAGAAGCACCGGCUAACUCCGUGCCAGCAGCCGCGGUAAUACGGAGGGUGCGAGCGUUAAUCGGAAUUACUGGGCGUAAAGCGCGCGUAGGCGGUCUGAUAAGCCGGUUGUGAAAGCCCCGGGCUCAAACUGGGAACGGCAUCCGGAACUGUCAGGCUAGAGUGCAGGAGAGGAAGGUAGAAUUCCCGGUGUAGCGGUGAAAUGCGUAGAGAUCGGGAGGAAUACCAGUGGCGAAGGCGGCCUUCUGGACUGACACUGACGCUGAGGUGCGAAAGCGUGGGUAGCAAACAGGAUUAGAUACCCCUGUAGUC